This 283-nucleotide non-coding RNA is filed under the name Pan troglodytes (chimpanzee). The record is from RNAcentral. Lineage: Eukaryota; Metazoa; Chordata; Mammalia; Primates; Hominidae.
GCUGGGCGUGGUAGCGGGCACCUGUAGUCCCAGCUACUCAGGGGACUGAGGCAGGAGAAUGGCUUGAACUCGGGAGGCAGAGGAAGCAGUGAGCCGAGAUUGUGCCACUGCACUCCAGCCUGGGUGACAGAGUGGGACUCCGUCUCAAAAAAAAAAAAAAAGUUUGUUACUUUUUUUUUUUUGAGACGGAGUUUCACUUUUGUCACCCAGGCUGGAGUGCAAUGGGGCGAUCUCGGCUCACUGCAACCUCUGCCUCCUGGGUUCAAGCGAUUCUCCUGCCUCA